RNAcentral lists this ribosomal RNA (428 nucleotides) under uncultured bacterium. Its description in RNAcentral is "bacterial SSU rRNA". It matches the Rfam family "Bacterial small subunit ribosomal RNA", at positions 354 to 796 of the family's 1533-position model. The record is from RNAcentral.
GUGGGGAAUAUUGGGCAAUGGAGGCAACUCUGACCCAGCAACGCCGCGUGAAUGAUGAAGGUCUUCGGAUUGUAAAGUUCUGUGAUGGGGGACGAAGAAAGUGACGGUACCCCAAUAGCAAGCUACGGCUAACUACGUGCCAGCAGCCGCGGUAAUACGUAGGUAGCAAGCGUUGUCCGGAAUGACUGGGCGUAAAGGGUGCGUAGGUGGUUUAACAAGUUGGUAGUGAAAUUCCGAGGCUUAACUUCGGCGCUACUGCCAAGACUGUUGAACUUGAGUACAGGAGAGGUAAGUGGAAUUCCUAGUGUAGCGGUGGAAUGCGUAGAUAUUAGGAGGAACACCAGUGGCGAAGGCGACUUACUGGCCUGCAACUGACACUGAGGCACGAAAGCGUGGGGAGCAAACAGGAUUAGAAACCCGAGUAGUCC